Molecule: ribosomal RNA, 500 nt
Filed under: uncultured bacterium
Lineage: Bacteria
Description: partial 16S ribosomal RNA
Rfam family: Bacterial small subunit ribosomal RNA
Source: RNAcentral
AUUGAACGCUGGCGGCAUGCCUAACACAUGCAAGUCGAACGGUAACGCGGGGGCAGCCCUGGCGACGAGUGGCGGACGGGUGAGUAAUGCUUAGGAAUCUGCCCAAUGGUGGGGGACAACCCGGGGAAACUCGGGCUAAUACCGCAUACGCCCUACGGGGGAAAGCGGGGGAUCGAAAGACCUCGCGCUGUUGGAUGAGCCUAAGUCCGAUUAGCUAGUUGGUAGGGUAAAAGCCUACCAAGGCAACGAUCGGUAGCUGGUCUGAGAGGACGAUCAGCCACACUGGGACUGAGACACGGCCCAGACUCCUACGGGAGGCAGCAGUGGGGAAUAUUGGACAAUGGGCGAAAGCCUGAUCCAGCGAUGCCGCGUGUGUGAAGAAGGCCUGCGGGUUGUAAAGCACUUUCAGUGGGGAAGAAAGGUCAGGGGCUAAUUCCCCCUGCUCGUGACGUUACCCACAGAAGAAGCACCGGCUAACUCCGUGCCAGCAGCCGCCGCAG